UUGAUCAUGGCUCAGAGUGAACGCUGGCUGGUAGGCCUAAUACAUGCAAGUCGAGCGAAUGAUUAGAGCUUGCUCUUAUGAAGUUAGCGGCGGACGGGUGAGUAACACGUGGGUAACCUGCCCAUAAGACUGGGAUAACUCCGGGAAACCGGGGCUAAUACCGGAUAACAUUUUGAACUGCAUGGUUCGAAAUUGAAAGGCGGCUUCGGCUGUCACUUAUGGAUGGACCCGCGUCGCAUUAGCUAGUUGGUGAGGUAACGGCUCACCAAGGCAACGAUGCGUAGCCGACCUGAGAGUGGUGAUCGGCCACACUGGGACUGAGACACGGCCCAGACUCCUACGGGAGGCAGCAGUAGGGAAUCUUCCGCAAUGGACGAAAGUCUGACGGAGCAACGCCGCGUGAGUGAUGAAGGCUUUCGGGUCGUAAAACUCUGUUGUUAGGGAAGAACAAGUGCUAGUUGAAUAAGCUGGCACCUUGACGGUACCUAAACCAGAAAAGCCACGGCUAACUACGUGGCCAGCAGACGCGGUUAAUAACAGAGGGUGCGAGCGUCCAAUCGGGAUUUACUGGGCGGUUAAAGCGUGCGUAAGGCGGCUUUUUAAGUUCCGGAUGUUGAAAUCCCCGAAGC
Molecule: ribosomal RNA, 629 nt
Filed under: uncultured bacterium
Lineage: Bacteria
Description: bacterial SSU rRNA
Rfam family: Bacterial small subunit ribosomal RNA
Source: RNAcentral